UACAGAGGGUGCUAGCGUUGUUCGGAAUUACUGGGCGUAAAGGGCGCGUAGGCGGCCUGUUGAGUUAAGUGUGAAAGCCUCGGGCUCAACCUGAGAACUGCAUUUAACACUGGCAGGCUAGAGAUCGCAAGGGGACAGUGGAAUUCCUAGUGUAGAGGUGAAAUUCGUAGAUAUUAGGAAGAAUAUCGAUGGCGAAGGCAGCUGUCUGGGGCGAUACUGACGCUAAGGCGCGAAAGCGUGGGGAGCAAACAGG
This 253-nucleotide ribosomal RNA is filed under the name uncultured bacterium. Its description in RNAcentral is "partial 16S ribosomal RNA". It matches the Rfam family "Bacterial small subunit ribosomal RNA", at positions 524 to 776 of the family's 1533-position model. The record is from RNAcentral.